This 840-nucleotide long non-coding RNA is filed under the name Olea europaea subsp. europaea. Lineage: Eukaryota; Viridiplantae; Streptophyta; Magnoliopsida; Lamiales; Oleaceae. The record is from RNAcentral.
CACAGUCACAAAUUAUCAACUUAAUUGAUCACAUAAGUUAUUUUUGGUCACAUUUCUUAAGUAACAUAUUUAUUUAUUGAUCACAAAUUAAUCAAAUAAUUGGCCACAAAUACUAUUAUUCCAACCCCUACACCAUCCCACCCGGCCCACCACCACCUGCACCGCCACAUCAUCACGACUUGCACCAUCACCACGUGCACCACCAACCAUCCCAGCACUCUGACAAAGCAGAUCGAAAGAAAAACACAAAAAAAUUACCCCAUAAAUCAUUUCAAAACCAUUGCAAAACCAUUCACAUCGACAAUCAACGCAAACCACAAACUUUCACCACCACCACCACCAACUACCCCAACAAUCCGACAAAGCAGAUCGAAAGAAAACAGCCAGAGAACCACCUCCCUUAAAAAUCAUCUCAAGACCAUUCUAAGUUUGUAACAACCCUUCAAGCCGACAAUCAACAAAAACGCAAGGUGAUGUUAUACACAAUGAAGUCGUCGUUGUGCGCUAUGGGCACAGAUCGCCUCGCCGUUGCCCUGUAUAUAGAUGCACGGCCUCUGCGCGCGAUGUUGAAGCGAAGCAGUCGUAGCGUACCUUUACGUUGGUAAUCAACACAAACGGGUAAUGGUGUUACGACAUUGAAGCCACCGUUGUGCACUGUGGGCACAGAUCUACUCAUCGUUGCCCACAUAUAGAUCGAUGAUGGCUGAACGACCUUUGCCCGUGAUGCUAUUUGUAGCAAAGUAGCCACAGCACAACAUUUCCAAUGAUGUCAUCGAAUAAGAGAGAGAGAGAGUGAGAGAGAGAGAUGAAUUUAGGUUUUGGGAAGAAAUUGGGGAUGGG